RNAcentral lists this small RNA (153 nucleotides) under Sulfobacillus thermosulfidooxidans. RNAcentral describes it as "c-di-AMP sequence". It matches the Rfam family "c-di-AMP riboswitch aptamer (ydaO/yuaA leader)". From Rfam's summary of the family: This family represents a conserved RNA structure found upstream of the ydaO and yuaA genes in Bacillus subtilis and related genes in other bacteria. The ydaO/yuaA element is thought to act as a genetic "off" switch for the ydaO and yuaA genes in its native state. The record is from RNAcentral. RNAcentral also lists the same sequence under 1 other name. Lineage: Bacteria; Bacillati; Bacillota; Clostridia; Eubacteriales; Clostridiales Family XVII. Incertae Sedis.
CGACUCCACGCGCCGAAUCGUAAUUUUUGUAAUUACGUACGGGGGAUUACUAGGAUUUUAUCCUAGGGUGAAUCGUUUGCCAUAACGGGCAAAUGUAGGGCUCCUUCAGCCCGAACCACAGAACUAACCUCGAAGGCAAUAUCCGAAGGAAGG